CUAGAGAGACUGCCGGUGAUAAACCGGAGGAAGGUGGGGAGUGACGUCAAAUCAUCAUGCCCCUUAUGGCCUGGGCUACAAACGUAAUACAAUGGCGUAUACAAAGGGAUGCGAAAGGGCGACCUGGAGCAAACUCACAAAGUACGUCUCAGUUCAGAUUGGAGUCUGCAACUCGACUCCAUGAAGGCGGAAUCGCUAGUAAUCGCGGAUCAGCAUGCCGCGGUGAAUACGUUCUCGGGGUUU
This 243-nucleotide ribosomal RNA is filed under the name uncultured Erysipelothrix sp. RNAcentral describes it as "partial 16S ribosomal RNA". It matches the Rfam family "Bacterial small subunit ribosomal RNA", at positions 1140 to 1382 of the family's 1533-position model. Lineage: Bacteria; Bacillati; Bacillota; Erysipelotrichia; Erysipelotrichales; Erysipelotrichaceae. The record is from RNAcentral.